AUUGAACGCUGGCGGCAGGCCUAACACAUGCAAGUCGAGCGGUAGAGAGAAGCUUGCUUCUCUUGAGAGCGGCGGACGGGUGAGUAAUGCCUAGGAAUCUGCCUGGUAGUGGGGGAUAACGUUCGGAAACGGACGCUAAUACCGCAUACGUCCUACGGGAGAAAGCAGGGGACCUUCGGGCCUUGCGCUAUCAGAUGAGCCUAGGUCGGACUAGCUAGUUGGUGAGGUAAUGGCUCACCAAGGCGACGAUCCGUAACUGGUCUGAGAGGAUGAUCAGUCACACUGGAACUGAGACACGGUUCAGACUCCUACGGGAGGCAGCAGUGGGGAAUAUUGGACAAUGGGCGAAAGCCUGAUCCAGCCAUGCCGCGUGUGUGAAGAAGGUCUUCGGAUUGUAAAGCACUUUAAGUUGGGAGGAAGGGUUGUAGAUUAAUACUCUGCAAUUUUGACGUUACCGACAGAAUAAGCACCGGCUAACUCUGUGCCAGCAGCCGCGGUAAUACAGAGGGUGCAAGCGUUAAUCAGAAUUACUGGGCGUAAAGCGCGCGUAGGUGGUUUGUUAAGUUGGAUGUGAAAUCCCCGGGCUCAACCUGGGAACUGCAUUCAAAACUGACUGACUAGAGUAUGGUAGAGGGUGGUGGAAUUUCCUGUGUAGCGGUGAAAUGCGUAGAUAUAGGAAGGAACACCAGUGGCGAAGGCGACCACCUGGACUAAUACUGACACUGAGGUGCGAAAGCGUGGGGAGCAAACAGG
This 753-nucleotide ribosomal RNA is filed under the name uncultured Pseudomonas sp. RNAcentral's name for it is "bacterial SSU rRNA". It matches the Rfam family "Bacterial small subunit ribosomal RNA", at positions 28 to 776 of the family's 1533-position model. The record is from RNAcentral. Lineage: Bacteria; Pseudomonadati; Pseudomonadota; Gammaproteobacteria; Pseudomonadales; Pseudomonadaceae.